GGCCUAAUACAUGCAAGUCGAACGGCUCUUCGGAGCAGUGGCGGACGGGUGAGUAACGCGUGGGAACGUGCCCUUUGGUUCGGAACAACACAGGGAAACUUGUGCUAAUACCGAAUGUGCCCUUCGGGGGAAAGAUUUAUCGCCAUUGGAGCGGCCCGCGUUGGAUUAGCUAGUUGGUGGGGUAAAGGCCCACCAAGGCGACGAUCCAUAGCUGGUCUGAGAGGAUGAUCAGCCACACUGGGACUGAGACACGGCCCAGACUCCUACGGGAGGCAGCAGUAGGGAAUCUUGCGCAAUGGGCGAAAGCCUGACGCAGCCAUGCCGCGUGAAUGAUGAAGGUCUUAGGAUUGUAAAAUUCUUUCACCGGGGAAGAUAAUGACGGUACCCGGAGAAGAAGCCCCGGCUAACUUCGUGCCAGCAGCCGCGGUAAUACGAAGGGGGCUAGCGUUGCUCGGAAUUACUGGGCGUAAAGGGCGCGUAGGCGGACAGUUUAGUCAGAGGUGAAAGCCCAGGGCUCAACCUUGGAAUUGCCUUUGAUACUGGCUGUCUUGAGUUCGGGAGAGGUGAGUGGAAUGCCGAGUGUAGAGGUGAAAUUCGUAGAUAUUCGGCGGAACACCAGUGGCGAAGGCGACUCACUGGCCCGAUACUG
RNAcentral lists this ribosomal RNA (649 nucleotides) under uncultured Alphaproteobacteria bacterium. Its description in RNAcentral is "bacterial SSU rRNA". It matches the Rfam family "Bacterial small subunit ribosomal RNA", at positions 45 to 742 of the family's 1533-position model. Lineage: Bacteria; Pseudomonadati; Pseudomonadota; Alphaproteobacteria. The record is from RNAcentral.